RNAcentral lists this ribosomal RNA (460 nucleotides) under uncultured bacterium. Its description in RNAcentral is "partial 16S ribosomal RNA". It matches the Rfam family "Bacterial small subunit ribosomal RNA", at positions 338 to 795 of the family's 1533-position model. The record is from RNAcentral.
CCUACGGGUGGCAGCAGUGAGGAAUAUUGGUUAAUGGACGAGAGUCUGAACCAGCCAAGUAGCGUGAAGGAUGACUGCCCUAUGGGUUGUAAACUUCUUUUAUAUGGGAAUAAAAUGUUCCACGUGUGGGAUUUUGUAUGUACCAUAUGAAUAAGGAUCGGCUAACUCCGUGCCAGCAGCCGCGGUAAUACGGAGGAUCCGAGCGUUAUCCGGAUUUAUUGGGUUUAAAGGGAGCGUAGGUGGAUUGUUAAGUCAGUUGUGAAAGUUUGCGGCUCAACCGUAAAAUUGCAGUUGAAACUGGCAGUCUUGAGUACAGUAGAGGUGGGCGGAAUUCGUGGUGUAGCGGUGAAAUGCUUAGAUAUCACGAAGAACUCCGAUUGCGAAGGCAGUUCACUGGACUGCAACUGACACUGAGGCUCGAAAGUGUGGGUAUCAAACAGGAUUAGAUACCCUAGUAGUC